UCAGGACGAACGCUGGCGGCGUGCCUAAUACAUGCAAGUCGAACGGUCUUUCUACGGAAGCUUGCUUCCACUGAGAAGAUAGUGGCGAACGGGUGAGUAACACGUGGGUAACCUGCCCAUAAGAGGGGGAUAACAUCCGGAAACGGGUGCUGAUACCGCAUAGUUUUCUUGAUCGCAUGAUCGGGAAAGGAAAGACGGCCUUUGUGCUGUCGCUUAUGGAUGGACCCGCGGCGUAUUAGUUAGUUGGUGAGGUAACGGCUCACCAAGACGAUGAUACGUAGCCGACCUGAGAGGGUGAUCGGCCACAUUGGGACUGAGACACGGCCCAAACUCCUACGGGAGGCAGCAGUAGGGAAUCUUCCGCAAUGGACGAAAGUCUGACGGAGCAACGCCGCGUGAGUGAAGAAAGGUUUUCGGAUCGUAAAACUCUGUUGUCAGAGAAGAACAAGUUGGAGAGUAACUGCUCCAGCCUUGACGGUAUCUGACCAGAAAGCCACGGCUAACUACGUGCCAGCAGCCGC
RNAcentral lists this ribosomal RNA (521 nucleotides) under uncultured bacterium. RNAcentral's name for it is "bacterial SSU rRNA". It matches the Rfam family "Bacterial small subunit ribosomal RNA", at positions 24 to 518 of the family's 1533-position model. The record is from RNAcentral.